RNAcentral lists this ribosomal RNA (468 nucleotides) under uncultured bacterium. RNAcentral describes it as "partial 16S ribosomal RNA". It matches the Rfam family "Bacterial small subunit ribosomal RNA", at positions 28 to 507 of the family's 1533-position model. The record is from RNAcentral.
GAUGAACGCUGGCGGCGUGCUUAACACAUGCAAGUCGAACGGAAAGGCCCAAGCUUGCUUGGGUACUCGAGUGGCGAACGGGUGAGUAACACGUGGGUGAUCUGCCCUGCACUUCGGGAUAAGCCUGGGAAACUGGGUCUAAUACCGGAUAGGACCACUUCUUGGACGUUGUGGUGGAAAGUUUUCUCGGUUUGGGAUGAGCUCGCGGCCUAUCAGCUUGUUGGUGGGGUAUUGGCCUACCAAGGCGUCGACGGGGAGCCGGCCCGAGAGGGUGUACGGCCACAUUAGGACUCAGCGACGGGCCAGAGUCCUACGGGUGGCAGCAGGGGGGAAUAUUGCACAAUGGGCGCAAGCCUGAUGCAGCGACGCCGCGUGGGGGAUGACGGCCUUCGGGUUGUAAACUCCUUUCGCUAGGGAAGAAGCGUUUUUGUGACGGUACCUGGAGAAGAAGCACCGGCUAACUACGUG